This 261-nucleotide ribosomal RNA is filed under the name uncultured bacterium. RNAcentral's name for it is "partial 16S ribosomal RNA". It matches the Rfam family "Bacterial small subunit ribosomal RNA", at positions 29 to 304 of the family's 1533-position model. The record is from RNAcentral.
AAUGAACGUUGGCGGCGUGGAUUAGGCAUGCAAGUCGUACGGACCAUGGUAGCAAUAUUAUGGUUAGUGGCGCAAGGGAGAGUAAUACGUAGGUAUUUACCCUGGGGUCUGGGAUAGCGGCGGGAAACUGCCGGUAAUACCAGAUGAUAUCUCCGGAUCAAAGGUGUGAUUCCGCCCUAGGAGAAGCCUGCGGUCUAUCAGCUAGUUGGCAGGGUAACGGCCUACCAAGGCAAAGACGGAUAUGGGGCGUGAGAGCGUGCC